Molecule: long non-coding RNA, 2640 nt
Filed under: Canis lupus familiaris (dog)
Lineage: Eukaryota; Metazoa; Chordata; Mammalia; Carnivora; Canidae
Description: lncRNA (ENSCAFG00845018119.1)
Source: RNAcentral
UUGUGUUGUAAGUGACUGAGUUGGGCCCAAUGAGGACAUUUUUGUCAUUUAUAUUGCCAUUGUUAGUAACAUUUUAACUAUCAGCACCAUCUUAACCUUCUAAGGGAGUCCUCCUGGCUGAGAAUUCUAUUUUCAUCAACUGCAAAAUAUCCCAGGAAAAGAAGCCUCAAAAGCUCUUUGCUUUGUCUUCUGAGCCAGAGAUUUAAGAACCACAACUCUUUGCCUACCUGGAUUGCUCCACACACACACACACACACACACACAUACACACACCACUCGAAAAUGAUUCCACCCUUAAUUCAUAAAUUAUGGACAAUUCUUUUCUUUAGAGAGAUUUUUUUGAAGAAAAUUUUGUAGAAAAGUUUUAUUUUGCUUCUUUAUUUCAAGGGAGAAAAUUAUGCAAAAUAUAUACAAAGUGUGCAUGUGCAUAGCUGUGUAUGUCUGUGUUGUGGGUGUGUGUUGUGUUUGCUCCAGAGUUCACUAGUAGAUGCAGUUGUGGAUCAAAACAAAGGACAAAAAUGCUCAUUUUGAAAUUAAUUUCAGUUUGGAUCUAUAGUCAUUUUGUACGACCCUUCUGUUUACAUAUCCUUAGUUGGAAGUGCAAAAAGAACUUCUUUCCUAAAAUGAAAUGUUUCGUUAGUAAAAGUGUUUGUCGUGGAGCCUGGGUGGCUCAGUCAGUUGAGUGUCUGCCUCUGGCUCAGGUCCUGAUCCCAGUGUCCUGGGAUUAAGUCCCUCCUUGCCUUGGGGCUCCCUGCUCAGUGAGGAGUCUGCUUCUUCCUCUCCCUCUGGCCCUCCCCACAGUCAUGCUCCUGCACACAUGCAAGAGCGCUCUUUCUCUCUCUCAUUCUCAAAUAAAUAAAUAAUUUUUUAAGCGUUUGUCUCCAGGGCUAAUCCUAAAACCCAAGUUGGAAUAUCUUUUAUAGUGGUAUCUGUAAUUGCUUUCUUCUUAGGAUGGAUGAUCCAAGCAAUCAGCCAAAAGUCUGGAAAGAGAAAAGAACAGAUCACAUCCAAAGAAUUCCUUUCAAGAUACCAUGAGGUAUGAAGGUAAUACUCCUAAACAGUGCAUGGAGUUCAGUAAUGAAGAAAAACUGGAAGCAUAAUUCAGUUAGACCCAGUAGAAAUGCUCUUAAAACAGUUUUCAACAGUUUAGCAGAAUACAGACUUUAAACAUCUACGGGAAGAACUCAUUUAUAUUGGGCUGGUCCUCAAAAUUAUGUUGAGGUACAUGUAAAAUGCUAUUUUAUUAGCAUAAUAUGGAAGCAUAAAACAAUUCUGUUCAUGGAGCAAUAAUAUAAUUAGAGCUAAAAGUUUGAUAUUCAUUUUCUUAUUUUGGAAAAUAUUUUAUAGGUUCUGACUUCAUAUGUAAGUUACAUAUAUAUCGAACACACGCACACUAAAAUAAAACCGAAUACCAAGAAAGAUGUAUAGGGGAGUUUUUAAAAAAUAAUUUUGGAUGGAGAAGGCCUUUCUCAACAUGAUAUAAAAUCCAGAAGCCAUAAUGACAAAAACCAAAAUAUUUUAUUACAUAAAAAUUUAACAUAUCUGUGUGACAAAAAAUAAAUAAAUAAAUAAACCCACAACAUAGAAAGACAAAAAAAAAAAAAAAAAAUUCAGGAAAAGAUACCUGCAAUGUAUUUAACAGGAAAAGGUUUGAAUCCUCAUGACAGAUUAAAAAUGGCCACAAAUUCUUAACAGGCUCCCCAUCAAGGGCUGGGCCCUGCCUGUUUCCCUUCCCACUGGUGCUGGGAAGAUGCUAUACUGGUUCUGGGCCUACCUGGGCCUUAAGAGACCACAGGCUUUCACUUCCUGCCUCUUGGAACACACUCUCUCACAAUCCCUAAGUUACAACAACAGAAAAAAACAAAUGACAAACUGGAAGAUUUAGCAAUAUAUAAUAACAUAGCAUACCAAUUUCCUUCUUACACAAAAAGCACCUACAAAUCCAUAAAGAAACAGAAAAACAUAAGAAGAAUACUAAAAAAUAUAAAGCAAUUCAGAACAAGGGAAGUGUAAAUGGCAAAUAACCUAUCAGCAACCUGACUCACAAUGAAAUACACGUUCUUUUAGAUAAUAAAAUUCUUUUUAUCAUAUUUAUUAAAGUUUUCUAAAGUUUGUAUGAUAUUCAACAUUGGUGAGUAUGUGGGUUAAAGACACCUUUGCAAACCAUUUCUGCAACUGUAAAUUGGCGAAACUUACUGGUGGGGAAGUUGGCAGUAAGUUGCAAAAUGCAUAGGCAUGUGUCAUUCAAUACUUUAAUUCUAUUGUUAGGAAUUUAUGUGUUGCGCAAGGUUAGAGUGUCCAAUUUUCCCAGGACAGCCAGGUUCAACAAGAUAGCCAUGUUGUCUUAGCAUCUUCUUUUAUUUUCAAAUUUCUUAGUUUAGAAAACAAAUUAUAUGACAAUAGCCCUAGUGUUGGAUUUUUUUUUUUCGGAACUAUUUAUAAUAGCAAAGCACAACAAACUUCCUAAAAGUCUAUCAAUAGAUUGUAUAGAAGUUCAUAAAAAUUAUGAUAUACCUGUUCAAUGGGGGGGAGGCUAUUAAGCAAUUAGUGAUAGCCAUGUAGAGUCAUUCUCAGUACAUGUUCUCUAAACCAUAUGGGACAGAAAGGAGAGAAAAAAACAAAAAACAAACAAACAAAAAA